RNAcentral lists this ribosomal RNA (736 nucleotides) under Escherichia coli. Its description in RNAcentral is "partial 23S ribosomal RNA". It matches the Rfam family "Bacterial large subunit ribosomal RNA", at positions 1 to 780 of the family's 2925-position model. Lineage: Bacteria; Pseudomonadati; Pseudomonadota; Gammaproteobacteria; Enterobacterales; Enterobacteriaceae. The record is from RNAcentral.
GGUUAAGCGACUAAGCGUACACGGUGGAUGCCCUGGCAGUCAGAGGCGAUGAAGGACGUGCUAAUCUGCGAUAAGCGUCGGUGAGGUGAUAUGAACCGUUAUAACCGGCGAUUUCCGAAUGGGGAAACCCAGUGUGUUUCGACACACUAUCAUUAACUGAAUCCAUAGGUUAAUGAGGCGAACCGGGGGAACUGAAACAUCUAAGUACCCCGAGGAAAAGAAAUCAACCGAGAUUCCCCCAGUAGCGGCGAGCGAACGGGGAGGAGCCCAGAGCCUGAAUCAGUGUGUGUGUUAGUGGAAGCGUCUGGAAAGGCGCGCGAUACAGGGUGACAGCCCCGUACACAAAAAUGCACAUACUGUGAGCUCGAUGAGUAGGGCGGGACACGUGGUAUCCUGUCUGAAUAUGGGGGGACCAUCCUCCAAGGCUAAAUACUCCUGACUGACCGAUAGUGAACCAGUACCGUGAGGGAAAGGCGAAAAGAACCCCGGCGAGGGGAGUGAAAAAGAACCUGAAACCGUGUACGUACAAGCAGUGGGAGCCUCUUAAUGGGGUGACUGCGUACCUUUUGUAUAAUGGGUCAGCGACUUAUAUUCUGUAGCAAGGUUAACCGAAUAGGGGAGCCGAAGGGAAACCGAGUCUUAACUGGGCGUUAAGUUGCAGGGUAUAGACCCGAAACCCGGUGAUCUAGCCAUGGGCAGGUUGAAGGUUGGGUAACACUAACUGGAGGACCGAACC